RNAcentral lists this transfer RNA (67 nucleotides) under Pseudococculinidae sp. MNHN-IM-2013-40847. RNAcentral's name for it is "tRNA-Leu". It matches the Rfam family "tRNA". Rfam says of the family: Transfer RNA (tRNA) molecules are approximately 80 nucleotides in length. The record is from RNAcentral. Lineage: Eukaryota; Metazoa; Mollusca; Gastropoda; Lepetellida; Pseudococculinidae.
ACUAAGUUGGCAGAAUUAUGUGACUGAUUUAGGAUUAGUAGAAAUAGGAUAAAUCCUUUACUUAGUA